GAAGGCCUGUGAUGGAUAAACGUUUUGCCUACAUUGUCUGAUUCUUUACAGUGAAGAGACACGUAUAGAUUUCUGAGGCCUUU
Erigeron canadensis is the source of this 83-nucleotide small nucleolar RNA. RefSeq annotates it as small nucleolar RNA SNORD34. The record is from RefSeq and is a predicted model, not a curated record. The transcript has a single exon. Lineage: Eukaryota; Viridiplantae; Streptophyta; Magnoliopsida; Asterales; Asteraceae.